UACGGAGGGGUGCAAGCGUUAAUCGGAAUUACUGGGCGUAAAGCGCACGUAGGUGGUUUGCUAAGUCAGCUGUGAAAUCCCCGGGCUCAACCUGGGCACUGCAGUUGAAACUGGCAAGCUAGAGUAGGGUAGAGGGGUGUGGAAUUCCAGGUGUAGCGGUGAAAUGCGUAGAUAUCUGGAGGAACAUCAGUGGCGAAGGCGACACCCUGGACUCAUACUGACACUGAGGUGCGAAAGCGUGGGGAGCAAACAGG
This 254-nucleotide ribosomal RNA is filed under the name uncultured bacterium. Its description in RNAcentral is "partial 16S ribosomal RNA". It matches the Rfam family "Bacterial small subunit ribosomal RNA", at positions 524 to 776 of the family's 1533-position model. The record is from RNAcentral.